GAUGCUUACACAUGCAAGUCGAACGGCAGCACGGACUUCGGUCUGGUGGCGAGUGGCGAACGGGUGAGUAAUGUAUCGGGACGUGCCCAGUAGCGGGGGAUAACUACGCGAAAGCGUAGCUAAUACCGCAUACGCCCUACGGGGGAAAGCAGGGGAUCGCAAGACCUUGCACUAUUGGAGCGGCCGAUAUCGGAUUAGCUAGUUGGUGGGGUAACGGCUCACCAAGGCGACGAUCCGUAGCUGGUUUGAGAGGACGACCAGCCACACUGGGACUGAGACACGGCCCAGACUCCUGCGGGAGGCAGCAGUGGGGAAUUUUGGACAAUGGGGGAAACCCUGAUCCAGCCAUCCCGCGUGUGCGAUGAAGGCCUUCGGGUUGUAAAGCACUUUUGGCAGGAAAGAAACGUCAUGGGCUAAUACCCCGUGAAACUGACGGUACCUGCAGAAUAAGCACCGGCUAACUACGUGCCAGCAGCCGCGGUAAUACGUAGGGUGCAAGCGUUAAUCGGAAUUACUGGGCGUAAAGCGUGCGCAGGCGGUUCGGAAAGAAAGAUGUGAAAUCCCAGAGCUUAACUUUGGAACUGCAUUUUUAACUACCGGGCUAGAGUGUGUCAGAGGGAGGUGGAAUUCCGCGUGUAGCAGUGAAAUGCGUAGAUAUGCGGAGGAACACCGAUGGCGAAGGCAGCCUCCUGGGAUAACACUGACGCUCAUGCACGAAAGCGUGGGGAGCAAACAGGAUUAGAUACCCUGGUAGUCCACGCCCUAAACGAUGUCAACUAGCUGUUGGGGCCUUCGGGCCUUGGUAGCGCAGCAAACGCGUGAAGUUGACCGCC
RNAcentral lists this ribosomal RNA (833 nucleotides) under uncultured Achromobacter sp. RNAcentral's name for it is "bacterial SSU rRNA". It matches the Rfam family "Bacterial small subunit ribosomal RNA", at positions 43 to 873 of the family's 1533-position model. Lineage: Bacteria; Pseudomonadati; Pseudomonadota; Betaproteobacteria; Burkholderiales; Alcaligenaceae. The record is from RNAcentral.